Molecule: ribosomal RNA, 253 nt
Filed under: uncultured bacterium
Lineage: Bacteria
Description: partial 16S ribosomal RNA
Rfam family: Bacterial small subunit ribosomal RNA
Source: RNAcentral
UACAGAGGGGGCAAGCGUUGUUCGGAAUCACUGGGCGUAAAGCGCACGUAGGCGGCUUGUUAAGUCAGGGGUGAAAUCCUGGAGCUCAACUCCAGAACUGCCUUUGAUACUGGCGAGCUUGAGUUCGGGAGAGGUGAGUGGAACUGCGAGUGUAGAGGUGAAAUUCGUAGAUAUUCGCAAGAACACCAGUGGCGAAGGCGGCUCACUGGCCCGAUACUGACGCUGAGGUGCGAAAGCGUGGGGAGCAAACAGG